RNAcentral lists this ribosomal RNA (1135 nucleotides) under Escherichia coli. Its description in RNAcentral is "partial 23S ribosomal RNA". It matches the Rfam family "Bacterial large subunit ribosomal RNA", at positions 614 to 1751 of the family's 2925-position model. Lineage: Bacteria; Pseudomonadati; Pseudomonadota; Gammaproteobacteria; Enterobacterales; Enterobacteriaceae. The record is from RNAcentral.
AAUGGGUCAGCGACUUAUAUUCUGUAGCAAGGUUAACCGAAUAGGGGAGCCGAAGGGAAACCGAGUCUUAACUGGGCGUUAAGUUGCAGGGUAUAGACCCGAAACCCGGUGAUCUAGCCAUGGGCAGGUUGAAGGUUGGGUAACACUAACUGGAGGACCGAACCGACUAAUGUUGAAAAAUUAGCGGAUGACUUGUGGCUGGGGGUGAAAGGCCAAUCAAACCGGGAGAUAGCUGGUUCUCCCCGAAAGCUAUUUAGGUAGCGCCUCGUGAAUUCAUCUCCGGGGGUAGAGCACUGUUUCGGCAAGGGGGUCAUCCCGACUUACCAACCCGAUGCAAACUGCGAAUACCGGAGAAUGUUAUCACGGGAGACACACGGCGGGUGCUAACGUCCGUCGUGAAGAGGGAAACAACCCAGACCGCCAGCUAAGGUCCCAAAGUCAUGGUUAAGUGGGAAACGAUGUGGGAAGGCCCAGACAGCCAGGAUGUUGGCUUAGAAGCAGCCAUCAUUUAAAGAAAGCGUAAUAGCUCACUGGUCGAGUCGGCCUGCGCGGAAGAUGUAACGGGGCUAAACCAUGCACCGAAGCUGCGGCAGCGACGCUUAUGCGUUGUUGGGUAGGGGAGCGUUCUGUAAGCCUGUGAAGGUGUGCUGUGAGGCAUGCUGGAGGUAUCAGAAGUGCGAAUGCUGACAUAAGUAACGAUAAAGCGGGUGAAAAGCCCGCUCGCCGGAAGACCAAGGGUUCCUGUCCAACGUUAAUCGGGGCAGGGUGAGUCGACCCCUAAGGCGAGGCCGAAAGGCGUAGUCGAUGGGAAACAGGUUAAUAUUCCUGUACUUGGUGUUACUGCGAAGGGGGGACGGAGAAGGCUAUGUUGGCCGGGCGACGGUUGUCCCGGUUUAAGCGUGUAGGCUGGUUUUCCAGGCAAAUCCGGAAAAUCAAGGCUGAGGCGUGAUGACGAGGCACUACGGUGCUGAAGCAACAAAUGCCCUGCUUCCAGGAAAAGCCUCUAAGCAUCAGGUAACAUCAAAUCGUACCCCAAACCGACACAGGUGGUCAGGUAGAGAAUACCAAGGCGCUUGAGAGAACUCGGGUGAAGGAACUAGGCAAAAUGGUGCCGUAACUUCGGGAGAAGGCACGC